RNAcentral lists this ribosomal RNA (490 nucleotides) under uncultured bacterium. Its description in RNAcentral is "partial 16S ribosomal RNA". It matches the Rfam family "Bacterial small subunit ribosomal RNA", at positions 30 to 507 of the family's 1533-position model. The record is from RNAcentral.
AUUGAACGCUGGCGGCAUGCCUUACACAUGCAAGUCGAACGGCAGCAUGAUCUAGCUUGCUCGAUUGAUGGCGAGCGGCGAACGGGUGAGUAAUACAUCGGAACGUGCUCUGUAGUGGGGGAUAACUAGUCGAAAGAUUAGCUAAUACCGCAUACGACCUGAGGGUGAAAGUGGGGGACCGCAAGGCCUCAUGCUAUAGGAGCGGCCGAUGUCUGAUUAGCUAGUUGGUGAGGUAAAGGCUCACCAAGGCGACGAUCAGUAGCUGGUCUGAGAGGACGAUCAGCCACACUGGAACUGAGACACGGCCCAGACUCCUACGGGAGGCAGCAGUGGGGAAUUUUGGACAAUGGGCGAAAGCCUGAUCCAGCAAUGCCGCGUGUGUGAAGAAGGCCUUCGGGUUGUAAAGCACUUUUGUCCGGAAAGAAAUGGCUCUGGUUAAUACCUGGGGUCGAUGACGGUACCGGAAGAAUAAGGACCGGCUAACUACGUG